GAUGAACGCUGGCGGCGUGCCUAAUACAUGCAAGCCGAGCGAACGGACGAGAAGCUUGCUUCUCUGAUGUUAGCGGCGGACGGGUGAGUAACACGUGGAUAACCUACCUAUAAGACUUGGAUAACUUCGGGAAACCGGAGCUAAUACCGGAUAAUAUUUUGAACCGCAUGGUUCAAAAGUGAAAGACGGUCUUGCUGUCACUUAUAGAUGGAUCCGCGCUGCAUUAGCUAGUUGGUAAGGUAACGGCUUACCAAGGCAACGAUGCAUAGCCGACCUGAGAGGGUGAUCGGCCACACUGGAACUGAGACACGGUCCAGACUCCUACGGGAGGCAGCAGUAGGGAAUCUUCCGCAAUGGGCGAAAGCCUGACGGAGCAACGCCGCGUGAGUGAUGAAGGUCUUCGGAUCGUAAAACUCUGUUAUUAGGGAAGAACAUAUGUGUAAGUAACUGUGCACAUCUUGACGGUACCUAAUCAGAAAGCCACGGCUAACUACGUG
Molecule: ribosomal RNA, 497 nt
Filed under: uncultured bacterium
Lineage: Bacteria
Description: partial 16S ribosomal RNA
Rfam family: Bacterial small subunit ribosomal RNA
Source: RNAcentral